ACAAUAGAGCAUGUUAGAUAAGUCCCCUCAAAAAAAAACAUUUUAAUGAUGUAUUAAUUUUUUUUUUAAGAAAAAUUUAAUUACUGAAAGACAUAAUGACUUAAGAUUAAAACAUGACGUCCAACCAUUGACAUGGGAUUCACAACUUGAGAAGUCUGCGAGUGUUGAAGUGGAUUUGAUAAAAAAAUAUGAAAAUUGUAUUGUAAGUGCUAAACAAAUUAAUACUAAUUAUUUUAUAGCCACAAGUAAUAGUUCAGUAGAGUCAGCUGUAGAUUUAUGGUAUGAAGGUAUUAAUAAUUAUGACUUCGAAUUAGGCCCUAUAAAAAAAGGGGAAAAUGUGUUUGAAUUCACCAGGCUUGUGUGGAAAUCUGCGCAGCAUAUUGGAUGUGCAAUUGCCUGUUGUAAAAAUAACGUUAUAUUAGCAUGUAAGUAUGAUAACGACACGAAUAAACCAGGACACUUUGCUAAUAACGUUAAGCCUAUUAAUGUAAGAAAAAAAAGAAAAAGAAAAACAGUUUUUCAAAAUUAUACGCAUUUAAAUGCUUAUUUUAUAUUUUUUUGAAUAAAGUAGAAAAUUUUUUUAAAGACAAGUAUUUGAACUUUUAAUUGUAUUACUAUUAUUAUUAUUUUUUUUUUUUUUAGAAAAUGUUUGUUCAAAUUGAUUACAAAUAAAGAAAUAAGAAAUGUGUAAACCA
Molecule: long non-coding RNA, 695 nt
Filed under: Piliocolobus tephrosceles (Ugandan red Colobus)
Lineage: Eukaryota; Metazoa; Chordata; Mammalia; Primates; Cercopithecidae
Description: lncRNA (ENSPTEG00000004992.1)
Source: RNAcentral